Molecule: ribosomal RNA, 255 nt
Filed under: uncultured bacterium
Lineage: Bacteria
Description: partial 16S ribosomal RNA
Rfam family: Bacterial small subunit ribosomal RNA
Source: RNAcentral
UACGAAGGGGGCUAGCGUUGCUCGGAAUUACUGGGCGUAAAGCGCACGUAGGCGGAUCUUUUAAGUCAGGGGUGAAAUCCUGGAGCUCAACUCCAGAACUGCCUUUGAUACUGAGGACCUUGAGUUCGGGAGAGGUGAGUGGAACUGCGAGUGUAGAGGUGAAAUUCGUAGAUAUUCGCAAGAACACCAGUGGCGAAGGCGGCUCACUGGCCCGAUACUGACGCUGAGGUGCGAAAGCGUGGGGAGCAACCAGGG